GACGAACGCUGGCGGCGUGCUUAACACAUGCAAGUCGAACGGAAAGGCCCUGCUUUUGUGGGGUGCUCGAGUGGCGAACGGGUGAGUAACACGUGAGUAACCUGCCCUUGACUUUGGGAUAACUUCAGGAAACUGGGGCUAAUACCGGAUAGGAGCUCCUGCUGCAUGGUUGGGGUUGGAAAGUUUCGGCGGUUGGGGAUGGACUCGCGGCUUAUCAGCUUGUUGGUGGGGUAGUGGCUUACCAAGGCUUUGACGGGUAGCCGGCCUGAGAGGGUGACCGGCCACAUUGGGACUGAGGUACGGCCCAGACUCCUACGGGAGGCAGCAGUGGGGAAUAUUGCACAAUGGGCGGAAGACUGAUGCAGCAACGCCGCGUGCGGGAUGACGGCCUUCGGGUUGUAAACCGCUUUCGCCUGUGACGAAGCGUGAGUGACGGUAAUGGGUAAAGAAGCACCGGCUAACUACGUG
RNAcentral lists this ribosomal RNA (468 nucleotides) under uncultured bacterium. RNAcentral's name for it is "partial 16S ribosomal RNA". It matches the Rfam family "Bacterial small subunit ribosomal RNA", at positions 28 to 507 of the family's 1533-position model. The record is from RNAcentral.